CGUAUGUGAAAGUGCAGUGGAGCAAUCACGAGGAACGAGAGGCGACUUGGGAGCCUGAGAUGGUGAUGCGGGAGUCCUAUCCCUACUUGUUCGAGAUUCAGGUUUGAGUUAAUUACGUGCAUGGUGGAGAGCACGGGUAGAGGUGCCGAGGAGCUCGGAUUCGACGCUGACGACGCGCCGCGAAGCCGUUCGAGGGUACGGCUGGGAUCGUAGCGCUGCGAGGAAGCUAGGCGAGGGUGUGUUUUCGCCGUUCUCGACGCCACGUCGAUGUCCGAUUAGCCAUUGAGCGUCGACCGUCGGUAUUUCAAUUCGUACUCGGCGUAGGAGCGUCGGUUUUCGACGGGACUUGGUUUGUUGGAUUCGGGACUUCGAGAGGAAUC
Long non-coding RNA from Ananas comosus (pineapple), 380 nucleotides. RefSeq lists it as uncharacterized. Lineage: Eukaryota; Viridiplantae; Streptophyta; Magnoliopsida; Poales; Bromeliaceae. The record is from RefSeq and is a predicted model, not a curated record. The transcript is spliced from 3 exons.